This is a long non-coding RNA of Anopheles gambiae (African malaria mosquito), 557 nucleotides long. RefSeq lists it as uncharacterized. The transcript is spliced from 2 exons. The record is from RefSeq and is a predicted model, not a curated record. NCBI's taxonomy places the organism in Eukaryota, Metazoa, Arthropoda, Insecta, Diptera, Culicidae.
AUUUAUUGAGCCGUUGGCACAAUCGAUUGCUUUCAAUCGCUCACAAUUGGUCGGCCGUGAUUCUUCUUUGCGAUCGCUCUAAAGUAGUGUAGUGCAGGCUGAACGAAUUAUAAUCAUGUUGCAGUGCGUGGUGGCUCUGGUGAUGGGCUUGUUCUCCAUCCUUGCGAUGCAUGAGGGCCUCACAGUUAUGCUAGGGGCAUCAAACAUCUGCCCGCAAGGAAUGCGGUUGGAUCAUCGUGGCGUGUGUCGGAAUAUCUUUGAUUGGCAUGAUUCUGAUGCAAUCAGUGCGUAACGAAGCAGAACAUUCAAUUAGAAGCAGUAUAUGUGUGUGUGUUUGUGUUAAAAUUGAAACAAUGCAUACUUUAUGCUUAGUGAAAACUGAUCUUAAAAUAAGUUAACAUUACUUUUAGCUCAUAAGCUUUUGAAUUAUUGGCCCCAAGUGGACAAACCAUUGGCUCUGCGUUAAUUAAGUAGUGCAAGAAUCCAUCCUCAAUUACACAAUAAGUGUACUUAAUAUAAUAAAAUGUCGAUGAAAGUGUUUGAUUUCGAAUAUACAG